Molecule: long non-coding RNA, 480 nt
Filed under: Heterocephalus glaber (naked mole-rat)
Lineage: Eukaryota; Metazoa; Chordata; Mammalia; Rodentia; Bathyergidae
Description: lncRNA (ENSHGLG00000036435.1)
Source: RNAcentral
CAAAACCCAAGGAGGAGGAGGACACCUCAUGGAGUAUAGGACUUAGAUGCAAACAAGAUCUAUAUACUGCCUUGGAAUCUGGUGUAACUAGGAAGGCCUCAGAUGACCUCAUCAUAUCCUCCUCUCCUCAUCCUGCUCCCAUGGCUAAGGUCUCCCAGCCAAGCCAGACUUCUUAACCAAAGACCUCAGGUGUCCAUUUUUAAGAGCUACUCUGGAUUCAGGGAAAAGCCUGAGAAUGUUUGGUACAUGUCUGAGAACAUGGAACCAAGCAAAGAAAGUAGCAGCAGACAGCGAGGUGAACAUUUCCCGGUUCAAUCUCUGCCUAAACCUCUUGCAAUUCCUGUCAGGAGGUGACUGUGUGCAAAAGAACCAUGGCACAAGCAGAACCAGGAUGAGUGAAGAGGAGGUUGAUGUUGCUCAUUUCAGCAUUACAAACAACAAGACCCUAUGUGGCCAGGCAAAACCAAAAGAAAAUGUUGA